This is a long non-coding RNA of Etheostoma spectabile (orangethroat darter), 96 nucleotides long. RefSeq lists it as uncharacterized. The transcript has 3 exons. NCBI's taxonomy places the organism in Eukaryota, Metazoa, Chordata, Actinopteri, Perciformes, Percidae. The record is from RefSeq and is a predicted model, not a curated record.
UUCCGACUAAGCUGUUUAAAUGGCUAAUGAAAGUGAAUAUUCCCGUUUACAUGCAGCUGUGCAAAAUAUCAUUUUUCCUACAGUUUUCCACCAGUG